GCGACCGGCGCACGGGUGAGUAACGCGUAUCCAACUCCCCAUAGUAGAGGAUAGCCCGGCGAAAGUCGGAUUAAUACUCUAUGUUAUUCAAUGCGGACAUCUAAUUUGAAUCAAAGAUUUAUCGCUAUGGGAUGGGGAUGCGUCUGAUUAGGUUGCAGGCGGGGUAACGGCCCACCUGGCCUACGAUCAGUAGGGGUUCUGAGAGGAAGGUCCCCCACACUGGUACUGAGACACGGACCAGACUCCUACGGGAGGCAGCAGUGAGGAAUAUUGGUCAAUGGUCGGGAGACUGAACCAGCCAAGUAGCGUGCAGGAUGACUGCCCUAUGGGUUGUAAACUGCUUUUAUCAGGGAAUAAAGUGUGGCACGUGUGCCAUUUUGUAUGUACCUGACGAAUAAGGACCGGCUAAUUCCGUGCCAGCAGCUGC
This 427-nucleotide ribosomal RNA is filed under the name uncultured bacterium. RNAcentral describes it as "bacterial SSU rRNA". It matches the Rfam family "Bacterial small subunit ribosomal RNA", at positions 91 to 518 of the family's 1533-position model. The record is from RNAcentral.